AAUCAAAGAAGUGGCUUCCAUCACCUUUGUCAUCAUCUAUCGGUUAGAAGCAAGUCACAGGUCUUGCCCACACUCAGUGAGAGGGAUUACAUGAAUGUGUGACCACCAGGAGAUGGUAACAAUUGGGGUCAUGAGGGGAUAUGACUGCUACAAUCUCCCAUCAUCAAAAACAAAAACAGGAAUCUGGCUGCUCCUCCUUGCUGUCUUUUGCUCAUGAAGCUGCCUAAAGGGUGACUCAGCACUAUGCAACUUCCAGGUACCAACUGUGAGAUGCCAAAGUCCAUCCAAAGGAUGGACCCAAGGCUACUGGAUCUUAAGGUUUCAGACAAGUGUGUGAGACUUUGUACAUGAAGUUGGAGAAUGCGUCACUCUCUACCCUGUACAGAGUUGUGAUCCAGAGCUGGAUUUCAGACCCCUGUUUCUACAGGAACUCUAAACAAGCCCAGCAACCGUCAGCCAACUCAUAGCUGAAGCAGGGACACUGUGCAGCUCUUGGCGCUUGUUCUUAAUAUGUGUUCAGAGGGCUAAUACUCUGUCAAGCAGGGAGGAUGAUAGCCAGAGCAAACAGCCACGGUCCUCACGGUGGAAAAUAACGUUGCCAGAAAAUUCCGCACAUCUGGAAAGAACAGCAAUGAACAGGAACUUGUGCAUUCGUGCUAGGCUCCUACUGGGCCCGCUUCGUUUCAUUUCCUCCAUUUUUAUGACACUUUCCUAUGCUGCUACUCCAGACAUUCCAUCAAACACCUCGCCACGAACAAAUUGAAAGGGAAGGAAAUCUAAAGAAAGUCUGACUGAAUUUCUGAGUGUCUCAUCACCAGAAUGACCAGGAAAACCUGCCAAGAGUGUAGAUUCAGGCCCCUAAUCCCACUUCUCUGCAGUCUCCUCUUGGUCUCUGUGUAUAAGCUCUCCUGCCUUUUUGCACCUCUAAUCCAUUGUCAGACAAACUGGCCUACUUGUGUUUGCCUCUGAGAGCCUGUCCACUUCCUCACGUUAGGAGAAAGAACACAAAGAAUCCUAGCUUUGAUUCAGUUUUCCAUACUUCAGCCAUCAGUCUACCAUCAAGCACAUUUUUUACUGGACAAAUGAAAAGUCAUUGCUUUCAUUUUUUUUUUUUAUUUUUAUUUUUUUAGACUGAAUCUCACUCUGUCACCCAGGCUGGAGUGCAGUGGCGCAAUCUCGGCUCACUACAACCUCUGCCUCCCAGGUUCAAGCAAUUCUCCUGCCUCAGCAUCCCAAGUGGCUGGGAUUGCAGGUGCCCACCACCAUGUCCAGCUAAUUUUUUUGUAUUUUGAGUAGAGAUGGGGUUUCACCAUGUUGACUAGGCUGGUUUUGAACUCCUGACCUCAAAUGAUCCACCCACCUCAGCCUCCCAAAGUACUAGGAUAAUAGGUGUGAGCCAUGGCACCCCGCCAAUAUUUUUGUUUCUAAUAAAACAAGAACUAGUAGUGCACUCCGUCUAGAGCAAGAUAGUGUGCUGGGGACAGGGAGCAAGUAGGUAGGGGAUAAAUAGGUCAAGAACUGAGUUCACAAUUGAGGCUUUAAGCUUGAUAAGAAAUAAAGCAAGUUUGAAUCAUCUGGGUCCCUGGGGAAGCAUUUGUUUAGAAAAAGAUCAAUAGUAAAUAAAAAUACCACGCACCUAGCUUC
This 1644-nucleotide long non-coding RNA is filed under the name Pan troglodytes (chimpanzee). Its description in RNAcentral is "lncRNA (ENSPTRG00000053056.1)". Lineage: Eukaryota; Metazoa; Chordata; Mammalia; Primates; Hominidae. The record is from RNAcentral.